AUACGGAGGGUGCAAGCGUUGUUCGGAAUCACUGGGCGUAAAGGGCGCGCAGGCGGUUUGGUAAGUCAGAUGUGAAAGCCCACGGCUCAUCCGUGGAAGUGCAUUUGAAACUGUCAGACUUGAGUACUAGAGGGGAAAGUGGAAUUCCCGGUGUAGAGGUGAAAUUCGUAGAUAUCGGGAGGAAUACCGGUGGCGAAGGCGACUUUCUGGCUAGAUACUGACGCUGAGGCGCGAAAGCGUGGGGAGCAAACAGGAUUAGAUACCCUAGUAGUCC
Molecule: ribosomal RNA, 274 nt
Filed under: uncultured bacterium
Lineage: Bacteria
Description: partial 16S ribosomal RNA
Rfam family: Bacterial small subunit ribosomal RNA
Source: RNAcentral